AUGGGUUGCUACGUGACUUGGCUCGUCCGAAUCAGGUGUACGCGAGGACGAGGUAAACAACCAAACCAACCCUCUGCCUCCUCCCCUACUCUCGUUGUCGCCCGCAGAACCCCACCCAAGCCCUCGCUCGCUCGCCGGAAUCUAGGGCGGCCGCGGCGGCCGGGAGCAGACGCGCGCGGGAGGAGUAGUUCGGGUCCGCGCCGCAACCCUUUGCCUCGGCCACCACCGCCGUCCGCGCCGCCGCCCUUUGUCGUCGCCACCACCGCCGUCCGCGCCGCCGCCCUUUGUCGUCGCCACCACCGCCGUCCUCGCCGCAUCCACCACCAUCGUCCUAACUUCUCUCGGCCGUUGCCGGGGAUCCGGCCGCGCAACAAAUCGAUCGCAAAGGAUCUCAAGGCCUGCCGCCCUGCCCGGCGCACCCAUCCAGAGGCACAUGUUCUCCACAGAUCCAUUGGAUCCCUUGCCGCCUCUCAUCGUCCUUUUUCAUCGUGGCUUGCCCUGGAUGCUAGAUUCUGCAAUUCCUCACCUGCAGUAUGGAAGUGCAUCUUCACCUGGGGCGCUAGCUGCUGA
RNAcentral lists this ribosomal RNA (570 nucleotides) under Triticum aestivum (bread wheat). RNAcentral describes it as "partial small subunit ribosomal RNA". Lineage: Eukaryota; Viridiplantae; Streptophyta; Magnoliopsida; Poales; Poaceae. The record is from RNAcentral.